AAAAACUCCGGUGGUGUAAGAUGGGCCCGCGUUGGAUUAGGUAGUUGGUGAGGUAACGGCUCACCAAGCCGACGAUCCAUAGCCGACCUGAGAGGGUGACCGGCCACAUUGGGACUGAGACACGGCCCAAACUCCUACGGGAGGCAGCAGUGGGGAAUAUUGCACAAUGGGCGCAAGCCUGAUGCAGCGACGCCGCGUGAGCGAAGAAGUAUUUCGGUAUGUAAAGCUCUAUCAGCAGGGAAGAAAAUGACGGUACCUGACUAAGAAGCUCCGGCUAAAUACGUGCCAGCAGCCGCGGUAAUACGUAUGGAGCAAGCGUUAUCCGGAAUUACUGGGUGUAAAGGGAGCGUAGACGGAUGUGCAAGUCUGAUGUGAAAGGCGGGGGCUCAACCCCUGGACUGCAUUGGAAACUGUAAAUCUUGAGUGCCGGAGAGGUAAGCGGAAUUCCUAGUGUAGCGGUGAAAUGCGUAGAUAUUAGGAGGAACACCAGUGGCGAAGGCGGCUUACUGGACGGUAACUGACGUUGAGGCUCGAAAGCGUGGGGAGCAAACAGGAUUAGAUACCCUGGUAGUCCACGCGGU
RNAcentral lists this ribosomal RNA (581 nucleotides) under uncultured bacterium. RNAcentral's name for it is "bacterial SSU rRNA". It matches the Rfam family "Bacterial small subunit ribosomal RNA", at positions 202 to 803 of the family's 1533-position model. The record is from RNAcentral.